RNAcentral lists this ribosomal RNA (470 nucleotides) under uncultured bacterium. RNAcentral's name for it is "bacterial SSU rRNA". It matches the Rfam family "Bacterial small subunit ribosomal RNA", at positions 501 to 970 of the family's 1533-position model. The record is from RNAcentral.
CUACGUGCCAGCAGCCGCGGUAAUACGUAGGUGGCAAGCGUUGUCCGGAAUUAUUGGGCGUAAAGCGCGCGCAGGCGGAUUGGUCAGUCUGUCUUAAAAGUUCGGGGCUUAACCCCGUGAUGGGAUGGAAACUACCAAUCUAGAGUAUCGGAGAGGAAAGUGGAAUUCCUAGUGUAGCGGUGAAAUGCGUAGAUAUUAGGAAGAACACCAGUGGCGAAGGCGACUUUCUGGACGAAAACUGACGCUGAGGCGCGAAAGCCAGGGGAGCGAACGGGAUUAGAUACCCCGGUAGUCCUGGCCGUAAACGAUGGGUACUAGGUGUAGGAGGUAUCGACCCCUUCUGUGCCGGAGUUAACGCAAUAAGUACCCCGCCUGGGGAGUACGACCGCAAGGUUGAAACUCAAAGGAAUUGACGGGGGCCCGCACAAGCGGUGGAGUAUGUGGUUUAAUUCGACGCAACGCGAAGAACC